CAUCUGUAAGAUGGGGAAGUGUAAUCAGUUCUGAACCCACAUAUACCUCACUGGGCUUGAACAGGCCUGAGCAGGCAUGUGGGGCUUUACUAGCUAGCCAUCCUUUCUGCCGCUCUCCCUCAUUCUCCUUCAAGCCCCCCAAAGUCCUUGGUGGAGGAGGAAGUGGAGACAGAACGUUUGGUGUUGGGUGAGGUACGUGAGGAGGCUGAUUUCAGAACCUCCAGGAAACAAAGCUUUAGUGUUCCGAGGGCAGUGCCCGCCUGUGCCUCCUCCUCACAGGGGGUAGUAGGAGUGGGGUGGGGCCGAGGCAUUUCCCAGCACAGCUCAAUCACAUCUCCUGCGCCUGCCCUUGUGACCUGCUCACUGGAAAGGAAGAAAUGACCGAGGGAGAAGGGAGGGCAUUUGAGUAGGGAAGCUGCAGCUGUAGCUGGGGAGCCCUGUGUGGUGCUUGUCAGGAGUGGCCAGGGGAGCCGCUGGUCUUAGGCAUAUACUGUCCACCAUUUGCUCAUGAUAAUUUUUCAGCCACUUCUCUUCAGGCCAAAGGGAGGAGAAAGCUGCCUUGGUCUUGUCAGGUAUUUUUCCCUCUCCACCCUGGUCUUCUCCUGUAACGUGUGGCCGCCUUUUCCAGCACGGCCUCCUGCCUUCCUGGUGCACUUUUUGGAGAACGUGGUGGAAUCAGAGGUUUCUGGCUGACUCGGUGG
RNAcentral lists this long non-coding RNA (701 nucleotides) under Homo sapiens (human). Its description in RNAcentral is "long intergenic non-protein coding RNA 511". Lineage: Eukaryota; Metazoa; Chordata; Mammalia; Primates; Hominidae. The record is from RNAcentral.